GAUGAAGAACGCAGCGAAAUGCGAUAAAUAAUGUGAAUUGCAGAAUUCAGUGAAUCAUCGAGUCUUUGAACGCACAUUGCGCCCCCUGGUAUUCCGGGGGGCAUGCCUGUCCGAGCGUCAUUGCUGCCCUCAAGCACGGCUUGUGUGUUGGGCCCCCGUCCCCCCCUCCCGGGGGACGGGCCCGAAAGGCAGCGGCGGCACCGCGUCCGGUCCUCGAGCGUAUGGGGCUUUGUCACCCGCUCUGUAGGCCCGGCCGGCGCCCGCCGGCGACCCCCCUCAAUCUUUCCAGGUUGACCUCGGAUCAGGUAGGGAUACCCGCUGAACUUAAGCAUAUCAAUAAGCGGAGGA
This 348-nucleotide unclassified non-coding RNA is filed under the name soil metagenome. RNAcentral's name for it is "partial contains 5.8S ribosomal RNA, internal transcribed spacer 2, and large subunit ribosomal RNA". The stretch from base 1 to 120 matches the Rfam family "5.8S ribosomal RNA", at positions 35 to 154 of the family's 154-position model. The record is from RNAcentral.